GGAACUGCCUACGCAAGUAGUGAGGAAGGCGGGGAUGACGUCAAAUCAGCACGGCCCUUACGUCCAGGGCUACACACGUGCUACAAUGGCCGAUACAGAGGGCAGCUACCUGGUGACAGGAUGCAAAUCUCCAAAGUCGGUCUCAGUUCGGAUCGGAGUCUGCAACCCGACUCCGUGAAGUUGGAUUCGCUAGUAAUCGCGCAUCAGCCAUGGCGCGGUGAAUACGUUCCCGGGCCUU
Molecule: ribosomal RNA, 238 nt
Filed under: uncultured Sphingobacteriales bacterium
Lineage: Bacteria; Pseudomonadati; Bacteroidota; Sphingobacteriia; Sphingobacteriales
Description: partial 16S ribosomal RNA
Rfam family: Bacterial small subunit ribosomal RNA
Source: RNAcentral